AACUGACUGUGGUCUGGUAGAGCCCAAGAGAAACAAUCUUGUGAGAAAUUGUGAGAGAGGGCUCUGGCUUGCAGUGAUUUUCUGUGAGGGGACCCCUAAGACCUAUUGCAUUAAAAAAAAUAAAUGAAAAAGAUGAGAAAAACUGGAAAAAAUUUCUGGCUGCCAUAUUAUUUACAGACUCAUCUAUAUCCAGUGAGAGGAAAGCAUUUCCUAAUUAUCUACUGCCUUUCUGUGACUUUCUAUCAGGCUCCACUCAUUAAACUCACAUUUCCAGACUGACCUGUCAAAGACUAAUGACAGAAUUUCUGUCCUUUCUCUUUCACCCUUACCUCUUCUGCUUAUGUUCCUUAUCUCUAAAAGUUGAUUCUUUGCAGAUAUAUUGUUAUUUCAUUCAUUCUCUUACUGCCAUUCAGUUAAGUCAUUGAAUAUUUAAUGAUGGCUUCUAAAGAGGAAUAAGAUGUUCCUAUUUUAUUCAUUAUUCUACGUUCAGUUCCUGAAAUGGUACCUGACAAUGUCAAACAAGAAUUACUUAAUGGAUGAAUGAACUGAUUGUCAGGCACCAAACUGAUUGCUGGCUGUUGGUUGUAAAUUCCAUUAGCUUCUCUCAUCCACUAGGAUUUCACUGUCUUGGUUCCCUUACUAGCAUUUUGAACAUUCACAAUGUUUGAUCUUACUCAAUGUUUUCCAGUUCCUAUCUUUCUGGUGUUUUCAGGUGGAGACUUCCCAAUUCAGUCUGGACCCCAGAAAAAUCUCAUUCAUUACAUCAAUAGCUAGGCCAAUGUCCCAGACAAAGGCUGAAGGACAGAGAGAGCAAGAUUAAUAAUAUAAAUAUAUAAUAUUUUAUAAAGUGAAUUAAUUUCUAAUAGGCUUUAAAUUCUAUAAAUAUGACUUUAUUCUUAUUUAUAAAGACUAAUGGUUAAUAAUAUUUCUCAAAUUGAAGUCAACUCUGUCUUUAAAUAGCAGCACCACUUGAAAAGACAUGGGUUUACAGCAAGUAGGGGGAAAAGACUGGGAUAUAUGAUGUUAGGAACAUAAUUAAGAGAAAAAAAAUUGGAAAUAUAGUAAUGUUAUCCAGUUAUUUUUCCAAUUAAAGUUCAAAAGAUAUAAUAAGCGUAACUCUAAUAAUUUUUCCAUUUGAAAACAAGUUAGAUGAAGUACUAUUUUAUACACAAACUCAUUAAAAAUUACUUAGUACCAAUAUAAACUAAAAAGAUAGUAUUAGCCUCAUUUAUUGAUGAAAAAAUAAAAGACAGGUCGAGUGAUCCUCCUAAAGCUAGAAAGGAAACCAAUUAUUACAAUUUCCCAUGUCAAUUUAUAUUGCAAAUCAAGUGAGAAGGAUUUAUAUAUAUAGGAACUAGUAAAAUUAGUGUACAGUAUAACUUACCUCCAACAGUAACAUGCUGGCAUCUUACAUUUUAGGCAAAUUCUGUGAGGAUAUUACCAAGUGAUAAAAAUCAGAAUUUUUCAUCACGAGCUAUUUUGACCAUUUCCUAUUUCUUUUUUUUUUCUUCUUUUUUUUUUUUUUUUGCCAUUUCUUGGGCCACUCUCGCAACACAUGGGGGUUCCCAGGCUAGGGGUCGAAUCGGAGCUGUAGCCAAUGGCCUACCCCAGAGCCACAGCAACGUGGGAUCUGAGCCGCGUCUGCAACCUACACCACAGCUCAUGGCAACGCCUGAUCGUUAACUCACUGAGCAAGGCCAGGGAUCAAACCCGCGCAACCUCAUGGUUCUUAGUCGGAUUCAUUAACCACUGCGCCAGGAUGGGAACUCCCUCCUCCUAUUUCUUUAAAAACUCACAUUUAAACAAUUUUUUAAUAAUACUAAAAUUAUUCUUUCCAGUUAAUCACUGGCCAACAAGUAGUAACCAUUUCCCCAAAAAGCCAUAAAAAAGGCUCCUCAAAAUGUUUCACUAAAGUAUGCUAGAAUGCUAUCAUCAAAAUAACAAGAGAUAAGUGUUGACAAGGACCCUCAAUAUUAGAACAGUAACUCCCACAUGACCCAGCUUCUGGAUAAAUACCUAAAGGAAAUUAAAUCAGUAUCUUGAAGAGAUAUCUGUACCACCAUGUUCACUAUGGUAUUAUUCACAAUAGCCAAGAUUUGGAAACAACCUAAGUGUCCAUCAGUGCAUGAAUGGAUAAAGAAAAUAUGUGUGUGUGUACUUAUCUGAAGGUAUCUAGAUGUGUAUACACAGUGGAAUAUUAUUCAGCCUUAAUAAAAAGAAAUCUUGACAUUUCUGACAACAUGGAGGACCUGGAGGACAUUAUGUUAAGGGAAAUAAACCAAACAGAGCAAGACAAAUAAGGUGUGAUCUCACUUAUAUGUGGAAUCUCAGAAACUAACUCAUAGAAGCAGAGAGUAGAAUGGUAGUUACCAGGGACCAGGGGCUAAGAGCAAGGCAAAAUGGGGACCUACUGGUCAAAGGGUACAAAUCUGUCCCACUAUGCAGAUCAGUAAGUUCUGGAGACCAAUAUACAGCACAGUUACUUUAGUUAAUAAUAUACUGUAUUAUAUAAUUGAAAUUUACUAGCAGUUGGUCUUAAGUGUUUUCACCACACACACGCAAAAGAAACUGUUACCAUAGAUAUAUUAAUUAGCUUGGUUGUGGUAGUAAUUUGUAUAUCUUAAAUAUACACAAUUUUUAUUUGUCAAAUACACCACUGGAAAAAAAAAUAAGCCCCAAUAACAAUAACAACAAUCCCUGACAUUAAAGUAGAAGUUGUAUUCUGAGAAAUCUAGGCAGUACUGGGUAGUCAGCUAUGAAUUCAAAAUUUCUUUGGAGAUUUAUCUUACAUCCUAAAAUUUCAACAACAGUUUGAGUCAAAUUCCAUAAUAUAUCUAUAUUUUUCCAGCAUUUUUUUUGGUUAUAAAUGACAGAAACCAAGAUCAAACUAACUUAGGCAAAAGGGAUGUUCAUUAAAAUGCAGAAAGAACGAGAUCGAUUUAAGGGUCAUUCCUAGCAGGUACUUGAAUAACAUUUAGCAUCUCCCUCCCCUACUCUUGUUGUCUAGCUCCAGUACCUCAUCUCUGCUGCGAGUCUAAUAAAGCUUCAAUCUCUUAAGCCUGCUUAUGCAUAUAAUUGCUAUUUCCAGUACCUUAUGUCUUCUAUCUUGGUCAUGAAGGGGGUAAUCUUUCAUGCCACAGUGAGGUAGAAGAAUCACAGGAAAAGAGUCUGACUCAUCUGGCUUAGGGCAGAUACACACUAGAUCAACCAACUGGAGUUAAGGAGGCAGAAAUAUGGUGUCAUGUGGAAGCCUUCUCAGAAAUACAUGGCUUUUGCAAAGGAAUAAGCCUGUCCCCACUCAAGGAAGAAAUGCUAGGGAGAUCAAACAAUAGCAAUUCUACUUCACAUUUUUUUCCAUAUGAAAUGUAAUCCUCUGUUGCUGUGGGUUAAAAUGUGUGUGUCAGAAAGAAAGACAGUUGGUAUUUUUUCUGCAUUAUUUUACCUCCUUGUGUACUACUCCUCUCUGUCCUGGAGAAGGCUCAAUGGUGGCAGUUUUGGUAGGGUUCUAGGAUCCCAGCAUGUAGCUGUAGAAGUUAUGACUUAUCUGGGUCUUCAUUUAGAUAGGAUUGUUCAUGUGUGUCAGCAUGACCAUAUGGUAGAGCACAGUGAAGAGUGGCAUGAAGAUGCAGGAGACCACCUUUUUGUGUGCACCCUUAGACACCAGGGAGAAUGAGGUGGGGGGGAGCUGCUCGUGGGAAACCAAGUGUGGGUUGAGAAGGUUAGAUUCCAUUCUCUUGGCAACAGGGAUACAUUAGAAAUUUUAAAGCUGGAAAAGGUUACAAUUUAUGGUUGUGUUUCAGAAAACAACUCUAGGCAGAGUGUGAAGGGUCAAUCUAAGGAUCAAGGAACCAGAGGAAGAACAAUCACUUCAUUAACUAUUACACAUAUUCCAAAGGGGUUGGUUUUGAUUUGAGAGACAUUGAAAGGAAGCAUCAGAAGAAUCUGGAGUUUCAGUGGGGCUGAAUAAGAGGGAAUUGUCAAAGGUAAGGGAGACUGAAUAUGAACUACUCGGAAGAACACACUAAGAGAAUUGAUAAUUUGUAGCUACUUAGUGGUAACCUAAAGGCAAAGUCUCUCUCUUUUUAAAAAAUAUAUUGUAACAAUAUCUGGAGUAAUCCAAUGGUUUAAAAUUUUCCUAAGGGAUUUUAAAAUGCAUUCAAAGUAAUCUGGAGAAUUCUGACGGAAAGAUAGGGAAAAAUGAAAUUAGAAGGCCUACGAGUAAUGUGUGAUGGUACCAUAUGCUAUUUCUUUCAGUAGUUUAUGCUUGUUCAUUAAAUGAAAAUAAAAGUAGCAAUACCCAUUCAAAGAUCCAUUAACAAUACAAAAGAAUCCAUAACAUGAUGCAAAAUUACUUUUCCUUCUUUGUAGACUAUAGAUUCAAUAAUCACUACCACACCUACCACAUACUUGUGGCAUAGUUUUCUGCCUAAACAGGCUCAGACUUGCCUAUUUAAAAUUCACUGACUUUGUUAAAACUCUAUUAAAGAAUUGUUAACUGAUUUGACUUCCUGGUGUAACCAAGAAUGUUUCCACAGCAGCUUGAUAUAAAAAUGUCUUUCUGCCCUGGCAUGUAAUGCUGAUCAAGAUGCAAGUAGGUCAACACAUACUUGUUCAGGAAAGGAUUCUGUCUCUAUCUGACAAAAAUGUCAAAAUAUCAGGAAAGACCCUUUCUCUAAGUGUUGACAAUUACUCUUUGCUUAGAUG
This 4704-nucleotide long non-coding RNA is filed under the name Sus scrofa (pig). Its description in RNAcentral is "lncRNA (ENSSSCG00000056873.1)". The record is from RNAcentral. Lineage: Eukaryota; Metazoa; Chordata; Mammalia; Artiodactyla; Suidae.